UGCGUAGGCGGCCCUGAAAGUUGGGUGUGAAAUCCCUCGGCUCAACCGAGGAAUUGCGCCCAAAACUACAGGGCUUGAGGGAGACAGAGGUGAGCGGAACUUGCGGUGGAGCGGUGAAAUGCGUUGAUAUCGCAAGGAACACCAGGGGCGAAAGCGGCUCACUGGGUCUCUUCUGACGCUGAGGCACGAAAGCUAGGGGAGCGAACG
Molecule: ribosomal RNA, 207 nt
Filed under: uncultured Planctomycetaceae bacterium
Lineage: Bacteria; Pseudomonadati; Planctomycetota; Planctomycetia; Planctomycetales; Planctomycetaceae
Description: partial 16S ribosomal RNA
Rfam family: Bacterial small subunit ribosomal RNA
Source: RNAcentral